RNAcentral lists this ribosomal RNA (253 nucleotides) under uncultured bacterium. RNAcentral's name for it is "partial 16S ribosomal RNA". It matches the Rfam family "Bacterial small subunit ribosomal RNA", at positions 524 to 776 of the family's 1533-position model. The record is from RNAcentral.
GACGUAGGGGCCGAGCGUUGUCCGGAUUCAUUGGGCGUAAAGCGCGCGCAGGCGGCUUCGCAAGUCGGGUGUGAAAACCAGAGGCUCAACCUCUGGCCUGCAUCCGAAACUGCGUGGCUAGAGGCAGGUAGGGGAGAUCGGAAUUCCUGGUGUAGCGGUGAAAUGCGCAGAUAUCAGGAGGAACACCGGUGGCGAAGGCGGAUCUCUGGGCCUGUCCUGACGCUCAGGCGCGAAAGCUAGGGGAGCAAACAGG